CUUUCUCUCCCUGACCAAUCAUCGUCGCCUUCAACCACCACCUUCUCCGACAUCAACUACUAAUCAACCACCGUAGACCACCGUCAACAACCUCCGCCGUGCCAACACCACCAUCACCGUCUUGAACACCAUCCAUCAUCAUCUUGUACACCACUACCUUCAAACUACCCAGGUUACAUCCACCGGAAAUCACCCAACACGAACCUGAGCACGUCACCACAACAGAACCAUCUUCUCCAAAAAUAAAAAAAAUAGGAAAAGAGUAGAAAUCAGAAAUCAGAACCAUCUUCUCCAAAAAUAAAAAACCGGAGGUUGUGAGGAGGAGGAGGCGGCGACCGGCGGGAGGUUGUGAGGAGGAGGAGGCGGCGAGCGGUGGUGAGGAGAGGGAUGGAGGCGGACGCAUCAUCGGUGGCGAGGAGAGGGAGGAGGAGGUCGG
RNAcentral lists this long non-coding RNA (436 nucleotides) under Helianthus annuus (common sunflower). Lineage: Eukaryota; Viridiplantae; Streptophyta; Magnoliopsida; Asterales; Asteraceae. The record is from RNAcentral.